UACGUAGGGGGCAAGCGUUGUCCGGAAUCAUUGGGCGUAAAGCGCGCGUAGGCGGCCCUGUAAGUCCGUUGUGAAAGUCCAAGGCUCAACCUUUGAAAGCCGAUGGAUACUGCAGGGCUAGAGUCCGGAAGAGGCGAGUGGAAUUCCUGGUGUAGCGGUGGAAUGCGCAGAUAUCAGGAGGAACACCAAUAGCGAAGGCAGCUCGCUGGGACGGUACUGACGCUAAGGCGCGAAAGCGUGGGGAGCGAACAGG
Molecule: ribosomal RNA, 253 nt
Filed under: uncultured bacterium
Lineage: Bacteria
Description: partial 16S ribosomal RNA
Rfam family: Bacterial small subunit ribosomal RNA
Source: RNAcentral